Lacerta agilis (Sand lizard) is the source of this 74-nucleotide non-coding RNA. The record is from the annotation of a RefSeq genome assembly. NCBI's taxonomy places the organism in Eukaryota, Metazoa, Chordata, Lepidosauria, Squamata, Lacertidae.
GCCUGGAUAGCUCAGUUGGUUAGAGCUUGGUGCUGAUAACACCAAAGUCGCAGGUUCGAUCUCUGUUUGUGACA